This is a long non-coding RNA of Lepidothrix coronata (blue-crowned manakin), 595 nucleotides long. RefSeq lists it as uncharacterized. The record is from RefSeq and is a predicted model, not a curated record. Lineage: Eukaryota; Metazoa; Chordata; Aves; Passeriformes; Pipridae. The transcript is spliced from 3 exons.
GCGCCCUCCCGGCCUGGACGGCCCCGGCGCUGAGGGGGAGCCCCAGUAAUCUCACCUCAUCUUUGAUCAUUACUAUCAGGGUGCUGCAUUGCGCUUCUGCUGAGGGAGCGUUAAUUUCUGUGAUUGUCAAUAGCCAUGAAUAAUUCAAGGCGCUGCCGCGGAGGCUGAGGAGCCCGCGAUAAGGGUAUCGAGAGAUCAGCAGAGCCUCAAACUCUUUGGAAGUGAAGGGGAAAGUGUCCAAUUCGAUCCCUGGUUCGCCUGUAUCAGCUGGCCCCCGCGCAGCAGUUCACAUCCUGGCAGCAGUGCACACUCCUGUGCCGGCGGGACGCUGAGGGAUGUGGGGGUCCAGCAGCAGACCUCAGGGUGUCCAGUGCUCUGGUCCAGCUCCCUGAUCAAGGCUGGGUCAGCUCAGAGACUAUCUUAGCCCAGAUUCUGUUGCAGUUCCCUGCACUAAAAUCCAGAGCGGCUUGGAUGUGGUGGAGUUACAGCAGUACAAAUCAGGAUUUCAGGAUACUUCAGAAGGUGCACCCCUCUCCAGGCAGAGGAAAUGAGGAAGAGCUUGGCUGCAAGUAAUUGCUGCUGUGUGGAAAAUAGC